RNAcentral lists this unclassified non-coding RNA (342 nucleotides) under Hevea brasiliensis (rubber tree). Lineage: Eukaryota; Viridiplantae; Streptophyta; Magnoliopsida; Malpighiales; Euphorbiaceae. The record is from RNAcentral.
ACAGCAGUGGGUAAAGGAGUCAAGCUAACCACAGGGGGUUGGGCACCAGCAGCAUUUGGUAUGUUAGAUUGUGCAACAGACAGCGCUGAUGAACCAGAAACUGCCACUGGAGCAUUAGAAACAGCAACAACAGGUGUAACUGGAACUGAGCUUGAAGCUACUCCAAAAGAGCUGGAGCUAACUGAAAUAGCUGUCGUAGAUGUUUCAGCCAAGGUAACAGCGACAGCAGCUGGGGCAUGAGAUGCAUCAGCUUGAGACGGGGUUCCUUGGCUAACUGCUUGUUGAGCCUGUUCACGAGCUAACUUCAAUUCCUCUGGUAUUGACCACUUAGAUUGCUUUGUA